GCCCGCCUAGCUCAAUCGGAUAGAGCGUCAGACUCUUAUGGCGGGUGCCCGAUCAUCUCGUGAUUGCGAUCUGAAGGCUGCGAGUUCGACCCUCGCGGUGGGCU
This is a non-coding RNA of Russula earlei, 104 nucleotides long. The record is from the annotation of a GenBank genome assembly. Lineage: Eukaryota; Fungi; Basidiomycota; Agaricomycetes; Russulales; Russulaceae.